GUAGGAGUAUCACUGACGCAAUGCACAACAAUGCUGACGCAAAACCAUGCUGCAAGUGAGAGGAAGAGGACGCGCUAUCUCUGCCAUCAUUAGGCUAGCUGGCUAGCUAGCUAGUCACGUAUUUCACGUCAUUCUCUCUUACCUCAAAAUGAAUAUUGCCGAGCAUCGUUUUCUCAUUGCCUGGAGCUGAUGAACCACAGAGAUGUCAGAUCACAGUGAUGUGUGUCCUCACCUGGACUGCAUAGGGGAGGUAACUAAGGAGGAACUUUUGCAGAAGUCAAAGGGGACAUGCCAGUCCUGUGGUGCAGGAGGCCCUAACCUUUGGGCUUGUCUACAGAAUGAUUGUCCCUAUGUUGGUUGUGGGGAGUCCUACUCGGAUCACAGCACUUUGCAUGCACAGGCUAAAAAGCACAACCUGACGGUCAACCUUACCACAUUCAGGAUCUGGUGCUAUAUCUGUGAGAGGGAAGUGUUCCUGGAACACAGGCCAGUUGUGCCUGUGUCUGGUAACCACCACUGCAAGUCGCUGGAGCAGGAGCCCGCUCCUCAAACAGCAAGUCACCCUCUGAAGGCUGUACCAAUCGCAGUGGCCGAUGAAGAGGAGUCUGAGUCAGAGGAUGAUGAGCUGAAACCGCGAGGACUCACUGGGAUGAAAAACAUUGGCAAUUCCUGCUACAUGAAUGCUGCUCUCCAAGCUCUAUCUAACUGCCCCCCACUGACUCAGUUCUUCCUGGACUGUGGUGGAUUGGUCCGAACUGACAAGAAGCCAGCACUGUGUAAAAGCUACCAGAAGCUCAUCUCUGAGCUCUGGCACAAGAAACGGCCCAGUUAUGUGGUCCCCACAAGCCUGUCCCACGGCAUCAAGCUGGUUAACCCCAUGUUCAGAGGCUAUGCCCAACAGGACACUCAGGAGUUCCUCCGCUGUCUAAUGGACCAGCUCCACGAGGAGCUGAAAGAGCCGCUGGCCGAGAGCGGGGGGUGCGAGCGGGGCGAGGGGGACGAGCGGCGGGACGGGGACUGCAGCCCCUCCGAGGACGAGUUCCUGUCCUGCGACUCGGGCUCCAGCAGCGACCGGGGCGAGGGCUGCGAGGGGCGGGGCCCGGGCGAGGCCGAGCUCCUCAUACAGGACGAGUGCGGCGGCCGGGGCGGGGGCAUCUCGGAGAAGGAGCGGCUGAAGGAGAGGAGGGUCUCGGGCUCCCCCCUCCACGGAGGCUCCCAGGAGAUGGACGAGGAUGCCGAUGUGGACACGGCGGCAGAGGAGGGGGACCCCGCUCGGGGGGCGGAGGACGAGGGCGUGCCCUCAAACAGCCCACACAACCAGAGCCAAAGCCGCAGUGCUCCAGAGCCUGACAACGAGGCGUCAAUGCACUGCAACUCCUCUCGGCCAUGCAGUCCCACGCGCAGCCUGCAGGAGCUGCACCCCAAGCUGUCCAGCAGCCCUCCACGCUCCAGCCCCCUGAGGUCCGUAGGGGUGGCCUACUCCCUCAAGAAAGCCCAUCUUCUGCUGGGUGCCAAAAAGAAGAAGCAGGCGCGCUACCGCAGCGUGAUCUCGGACAUAUUCGACGGCUCCAUCCUGAGCCUGGUGCAGUGUCUGACCUGUGACAGGGUGUCCACCACCGUGGAGACGUUCCAGGACCUGUCCCUGCCCAUCCCCGGGAAAGAGGACCUGGCUAAGUUACACUCCUCCAUCCACCAGAACCUUCCGGCAAAGACCGGCUCCUGCCCCGACAGCUACGCCUCGCAGGGCUGGAUCUCCUACAUCAUGGACUCCAUCCGCAGGUUUGUGGUGUCCUGCAUCCCCAGCUGGUUUUGGGGCCCCAUGGUCACACUGGAAGACUGCCUGGCUGCCUUCUUUGCUGCGGAUGAACUGAAAGGUGACAACAUGUACAGCUGUGAAAGAUGUAAAAAAUUGAGAAAUGGUGUUAAAUAUUGUAAGGUUCUUCGCCUUCCAGAAAUUUUGUGUAUUCACCUGAAACGAUUUCGACAUGAGGUGAUGUACUCCUUCAAAAUCAAUAGCCAUGUGUCAUUUCCUUUGGAGGGACUUGACCUCCGACCUUUUCUGGCCAAGGAAAGCCCCUCCCAGAUCACAACCUAUGACCUCCUCUCUGUGAUCUGUCACCAUGGUACUGCUGGAAAAUUCCAAACAGGCGGACAUUACAUUGCCUACUGCCAGAAUGUUAUCAAUGGGCAGUGGUAUGAGUUUGAUGACCAGUACGUCACAGAGGUGCACGAGACCGUGGUGCAGAACUCUGAGGCUUAUGUGCUCUUCUACAGGAAGAGCAGUGAGGAGUCGGUGAGGGAGAGGCAGAAAGUGGUGGCCCUGGCCAACCUCAAGGAGCCCAGCCUCCUGCAGUUCUACAUCUCCCGCGAGUGGCUGAACAAGUUCAACACUUUCACCGAACCCGGCCCCAUCACCAACCAUACCUUCCUGUGUCAGCAUGGAGGAAUUCCUCCAAACAAGUACCAUUACAUCGAUGACCUGGUGGUGAUCCUGCCCCAGAAUGUUUGGGAAUACCUCUAUAACAGGUCAGCCCUCAUCACCGUGGUGUCAUUGCUGUCUCUCAGCUUUGGAGGAGGGCCUGCUGUGAACCACCUAUACGUGUGCGCCAUUUGCCAGGUGGAAAUCGAAGCUCUGGCCAAGCGCAGGAAGGUGGAGAUCGACACCUUCAUUAAGCUGAAUAAAGAGUUCCAGGCAGAGGAAGCUCCCACAGUCAUCCUGUGCAUCAGCAUGCAGUGGUUCCGGGAGUGGGAGAGCUUCGUCAAGGGGAAGGACAAUGAGCCUCCAGGGCCAAUAGACAACAGCAAAAUUGGAGUAAUGAAAGGUGGUCAUAUACAACUCAAGCAAGGGGCAGACUAUGGGCAGAUAUCGGAGGAGACCUGGCAGUACCUGCUCAGCAUUUACGGCGGGGGCCCGGAGAUCGCGGUGCGGCAGACGGUGGUGCCGGCCGACACCGACAGCCUCCACGGGGAGCGUAAGAUAGAGGCGGAGACCAGGGCCCUCUGAGCCCCCGGCUGCUCUGUGCUGGGAUAAACGCAUUGCAAGGCAGAUGUGCAGAAAAAGGGAGAGGGAACAGAGAACUAGACUCUGCUGGAUGGAGACUGUGUACCUUAUCCUACCAUAAGCAUGUUUUUCAAUGUGCUAUAUCAUAGGUAAGUACAUAUUUUGUGUUUUUUGUGAAUGUUGGUCAAAGUGAAUUGAUUGCAUCACUGUAUCCUGUACAGAAUGCAGGUGCAUAACGUUGGCUAGUGGAUUGAAAUUGUAUGAAAACAUUGGCAUAUGCUAUUUGCUUGUCUGCAUGUGUGGACAGAUAUUUUUGAGGGAAAAAAAUGCUUAGUCAUAUUUCUUCCUCUCACAGCCAAAUUUAUAUUUCAUUUGGGGAGAUAUUUUGUCAUCAUUGGUUUUUUGCAGUUUCAGCUGUGUUUGCAUUGUACCAUGCAGACAUGUUUGCAAUCCAAGUAGAUUAAAUUACAUUAUAUUACAGGCAUUUAGCAGAUUUACCCAGAGUGACUUACACAACUUUUACAUAGCAUUUACAUUGCAUCCAUUUAUAUAGCUGGAUAUAUGCUGAAGCAAUGCAAGUUAAGUACCUUGGUCAAGGGUACAACAGCAGUGCCCCACCCGGGAAUUGAACCUAGUCUAGUUAACAUUGAAACUUGCCUCCUAGAAAAUUAAAAAACCUUGUAUCCAUUAUCUACAUCUCAACAUGGUCACAAUCACAGUCACUGCAGCGGACGACAUCAUCAUCUGAAACAGCUCAUCGUGUGCAUUGUGUUCUGGUGUAUGCACUGUGAAGGCUCUUAAUAAAGUGGUAUAUCACCAUUGUCACUGCCAUUUAAUAUAUAAAUUCAGUGCUUAGAACAGUUACAGUAUGUUGCCUGGUUAUUCAUUAGUCUUAAUGAUCCUGUCUUCAAAUGUUAAUUUCAGCCUCCGUUGUUCUUUUUAAGAGGCUGAAAACAUAAAAAAAAUUGAUUAGCAACUUCUGGAAAUGAAGUAAUCAGUUUUACGUAACUAAAGCUCCUCAAUUUAAAAAAACUGACAUCUUCUGCAUGGAUGUGCCCUCUCAAGAAACCUCACAGCAACAUAUAAGACUGAAGUAUGUGUUCCUCGCAUCCCUGUUGGAUAUGGAUUGAUAUUCAGUUACUUGUCAGCCGUGCUCUCUAUCUGGACUAGGCUAAUUAAGGAAUUAAUAAAAUCAGGACAUUUAUAUGUUAUUGACUAAUUAUUGUGUUUCUUUUUUAUUGUAUGUUCCACACAGGAUUUCCAAUGUUUUUGUGUUGCAGUGCUUGUCUCGCCAACUCUGAAUGUGCUCCUGUUUCAGGUCUUGUGAAAUAUAAUCCUCUAAAAGACACUACUGUAACUAACACUACUGUUUCAAAGUGUUCCUCUCAUGUUCACUUUUGGUCAGACUUAAAGAGAGAGGUGAACUUGACAGGUGCUGGUCAUAAUACUCUCAAAUUCUCAGAAGACAUUUUUGGCAUAAUGGAACCAGGUUUGAAGCCAAAUCCCUUGUAUACCGUCCUAUUUGUAAAAGCCUGAGAAACCACCUUUCAGUGAUUUUUCUGUGCCAACUACAAGGUCACAAAAAUUAACAGGAAUCUCAAUUUUACCAACACAAGGAGGAGGACAUUUAGUGUAAUGAACUGUGACAAUUCUACAUAAGAACAGGGGUAAAUAUUUACACCCUGGUGCCAAUUUUAAUUCUAAAUCAGCAAUCACGUCUGCUCCCAGACCCAACGACAUCCAUACCCUCCACCUUGGAUUGGCUUUCAGGCCUUUUUGCAUCAGAAACAGCCCUCUGCAUUAGAUUAUUUUAAAUGUUUCAUGGUGUUUAUUUCAGAUGAAUCUUCAUUUUCGUCUCUUAACGAAUAUCCUUUCUUUCUCCACUCUAUUCUGUGUCUAUUACUGUGGUACAGAUUAAUACUUGUCUCAUCUGUCCAUGAAAGUUUGUUCCAUAAUGUUAGUUUUUUUAAUGUACUUUGUUCCAAAUGCUAACCUGACCAUUUUUUGAGGCUUACCAGUGGUUUGCAUCUUGUGGUGAACCCUGGUGUGUGUAGUCUUAUCUUUAUUUUGGUCAUUUACACUUAUAUGCCUACAUCCUGGAGAGUGUCUGACAGUUGAAAAUGGGUUUUUUCUUAGCAUUGAGAUUAUUCAAAUAAAAAUAUUCUUCAGUCAUCUAUUGCUAAGCUCACCACUGCAUUAUUGCCUCUUAACAAUGUUCUGUACCAUAUAUAUGUAUAAAAAGUGCCAACGUGGUUCACAUGGUUUAUGUAAAUACCCGCAAAUUAAAGCUGACAAUCUGCACUUGAACUUCAUAUUCAUUUAAAAUUCAAUGUACUGGAGUACACAACCAAAACAACAAAAAUGUAUGUCACAGUCCAAAUCCAAUGGACUGCUGUACAUUUAGAAUGAAGUGUCCACCAUGCAGAUGCUGCUGCCACAGCGUAAUGCUCACAUUCUGUGCCGUAUGCCAGUAGAGUGCGUGCUCAGCAGAACACUGUCGAUGUGAAACUAUGGCUAACUCAACGUGUAGUGUAAACAUCUCACAGUUUAAGACUCUGCCUAUGAAUCUGGGUGGUGAAGCGUUUCUGAAGAAGAAGUGUUCUCAUGACUUCAUACAUUCCUGACACACAGCCAAGCCAAGAAGUUGGGGAGUUGGGGGAAUUCUUUCUAAAUUAUCCGAGGGCAGGAAAAUGACCUCGGCUUUACAAGCUAGUCAAAGCUUUUCAUUAGGUUAUUAUUUUAUUGUCUUGCUUGGAUGGGUACCUUAUAAUAAUCAAAAUGAUUUCAUGCAACUUCAUUCAUAAUGAGAAUGAUUGAAUGUGUUCAGGAAGCUAUCACAUAUUUAAUUAUGCUCUCACAUUUUUAAAGUUUAAAGGAAUUCAACAGCCAGGUUCACUGGUCGUUAAUGCUGUAGGUGCAUCCUGUUAUGUGUGUUUUAGUGUUGUCCUGAUUGUGUGUUAUUGAUGGUAACGUAAUUGGUAGGGUUGGUCUUGUAACCUAAAGGUCACAGGUUCGAUUUCCUCGUAGGACACUGACGCUAUACCCAGGAGCAAGGUACUUAACCAGCAUUGCUUCAGUAUAUAUCCAGUUGUAUCAUUGGAUACAAUUUAAAUGCUAUGUAAAAAGUUGAGUAAUUCGGUCUGGAUGAGAGGCUCUGCUAAAUGCCUGUAAUGUAUUAAUGUACUAGUACCUAGGAAGGAGAGGUUUUGGACAACAAGGUUUUCUUUACUUCUUUGCACAUUAGCAACUGCUCUGCUCUGUUGGACACCUGUGGUCUGCCUGUCCUAGCUCAACAUCUUUCACUGCAUCAUCAAACCAAAGGGAACUUACACGAUGAAUUUACAACAUGAAUGAAUCUUGGUUCUCCAUCUGAAAAACUCUUUGACAGUUUACUAUGAAGUGUACAGUUAGCAUUGACUAUGUAGUAUAGACUGCAGGUGCAAACCAUUUUAAUGAUCAUCUAAAAGUAAUGAAUAAAGUGUUGUAGAGACACUUCUGUGUUUAGUUUUUAGUCAAGUUCUCAUGUUAAUAAGACACACUAAUACUGCAUUAAGCUGAUUUACUGUUAAGCUGAACCAGCUUUUAUUUCUGUUGCAUUAACUGUAUAAACUGCAGUUGCAAUCCUACAUUAUGUGGCCAAGAGUAACGAGAAAUCAUGGGGUUUAAUGCACCUCCCAGCUUGUGGUAGAAUUGCAGUGGAUAUGGCAUUUUGUUUCUCUGUGUUGUAAAUUAUUCAUACAUGUCAAUUUUAUUAUGGUGUAACUUUGCCCCUAUGUUCCAAACAGUGCUUGCCUAUAUGCGGGGUCACAAAAAAAGUCAAAUUUGAAACAUGACUCUUAAGAAUAAAUGGAAAUGCACAAAUCUGUCUUGUGUGGUCUUGUGUGGUCUCAUUGAAUUUGAUAGUUGUAUUGCUUAAUCUGUUUUUCAUUCAUAUUUUUUUCUUUUUCCUGGAAUGCUACACGUUCAGUGUUUUUCCUGGUAAUCAAACCCAAAAUUCUGAAUUCAGAAAUGUGAUGCAAUAAGCAGUAUGCUGCAGUGCUGUUCCAGCUUGCUGAACAUGCCACCUCCAAUAAUGAACUGACUGAAGAUCUGGGCACAGUGCCAAAAUGUUAACACACUCUAGUUCAUAGCAGCUUGACAAGUGAUGCGUAUAUGAUAUUCCUGACUACAGUAGCCACAGUAAACAUUGUGAAGGCCAAGUCAUAAAAUUCACGUCUAUUUAAGGAGAAUAGUAUUUUGCUUUGUCUUUCAUAUUUGUUCAUUUGGCUCUGGUUUUCUCUUGUUGUUAAUGUCUGUCAGGUUUUGUGUGCUUUACAGUGUUUCCCUGCCCUCAAUAACAUUCACUCAAAUUUCAGUGCUUUGGUGCAUAUGGAAAGGUAAUUGAACUGGAUCGCCAAUUUCCGAUUUUAUCUGAGAAAGCGCUUUGUAAUGUGAAGAACCUCCCAGCUGUGCUUGAAUACUGUAAAUAAAAAAAUAAUCACCCACCCAGAGGGCAAGGCUAUAUGGAAUUUAUUUUUGAAGGAGUCACAGCCAAUCAUAAAAAAAAAUGAUUUUAAUUUGGCUGGAAAUGCAAAAGGUAUGAUAUGCUCCUGCCCCCCGGAUAUGAGAUGGGACCCUGCUGUACAGGUAUAGAGAAAACCCUAGGAUGCAAGACCACACCUGUCUGGUCACGCCCUGUGGAAAGGGAAGGUUUGUGCAGGAAUGUUUUUCAAACCACAAGCUCUGGCAGACAAUAUUUAAAACAGAUAUUCACAACAGCUUACAGUUACAGAUUCAGAUUAUGGAACCAAGAGGAUCAUUGAAUUUGAUGACUACAACCAGUUAAACCUUGAAUCAGUUUUUUCUUUUGGAACAAAAGAACUUUGUUAGCAGGCUGGAAAACAUAUGACAGAUGUGUUUGGAGUUCAGAGCAUUUAAUACAGCCACAAGUACAGAUACGUAAAGUUCAAAACUAGCAUAUAUUUAUAUAUAUUGAAAAAUUCUGGAAUUUGACUAUGGAAGGGAAUUGAACUGGAAGGAUUAAUAGCAGGCUGUUCAAUGAGCAUCAUAGUGUCUUGUAGCAUGGGCAGCUAGCCUGCACCCGUUUCCCUAAUGCAUAGUGUGUGUGUGAGCAAGAAAUAGCAUGAGUGAGCAGUGAUGAUGUCAUCCUGACUGAAGCCCUCUCUCCCAGGCAUUGCAAGGCAGAUGUGCAGAAAAAGGGAGAGGGAACAGAGAACUAGACUCUGCUGGAUGGAGACUGUGUACCUUAUCCUACCAUAAGCAUGUUUUUCAAUGUGCUAUAUCAUAGACUGAAAGAGAGAAGUGAACCUGACAGGUUCUGGUCAUAAUACUCCCAAAUCCUCAGAAGACAUUUUUGGCAUAAUGGAACCAGGUUUGAAGCCAAACCCUUUGUACACCAUCCUAUUUAUAAAAGCCUGAGAAACCACCUUUCAGUGAUUUUUCUGUGCCGACUACAAGGUUACAAAUGGAACUUGGGUCUUUGUUACAGAGAUUAGCAGGAAUCUCAAUUUUACUACACGAGGAGGACAUUUAGUGUAAUAAACUGUGACAAUUCUUCUACAUAAGAACAGGGGUAAAUAUUUACACCCUGGUGCCAAUUUCAAUUCUAAAUCAGCAAUCACAUCUGCUCCCUGACCCAACGGCAUCCAUACCCUCCACCUUGGAUUGGCUUCCAGGCCUUUCUGGAUAAGAAACAGCCCUCUGCAUUGGCGUAUUGGAAAUGUUUCAUGAUGUUUAUUUCAGAGGAAUCUUUAUUUUCGUCUCUAGGCAAAUAGAGACAAAGGAGGCUGCACAGAACCCCUCCUUCUCAGCUUUGUCACCGGAGGAGAAAAAUACACAGCCUGGCUCACAAAAACAUUCUGCGGGAAGUCCAGCAGUCUGUCAGCGCCAGUGUUUGCUCUCUGACAGAGCAAUUUGCGAGUGUGCCCGUCCACCAUGGGAUGCGUGAUGUGCUCUCAGCUCAUCAACAUGUGGAGCGUGUCUGUGAAGCAGCCAAGUCAAAGAGCCAUGGAACUGUCUCUGUUUCCUGAGGUGUCAUCUGAGGGCUACCAGCGGGUCUCCGGACUGCACUACAUGUCCUCCUUCUCGGAUGCGGAGGACUGCUGUGAUGAUGUCACUCCGAACAGCUCAUCUUCCCCAGAUUGAUUUGAAGCUGAACAGUGAUACACAGACAGAAAUGAAGCACUGGACCAUGGAGUAUUGAUAGUUAUGUUUCCAUUUGUGUGCAUGUCAUUUCCAAAUUUUAUGCAACUUUGCAUAUGGAAAUGAACACUGUAUGCAUAAGCGCAGGCUCUAUUAAUCAGUCAGCUUCUCAGAAAAUAAAUAGCUUAAACUGUCCAAACUGUUUCCAUUUAUUGCAAAUGGAAGCAGUUGUAAUUUGAACAAAACCUUCCCGGCACCAUGGUUCCAUUAAAAAGUCAACGGUUCACAUCGGUAGUCAUUGCUGACCACAUCAUACGGUGCUUGCUCAAAGUGCUUGGAACCACUACAUUUGAGAAACCAAAUAUUGGAAAACACAUGUCAAUUGGCGUUUUGUAUGCAAAUUAAAUAAAUUAUCUUCCGCAAAUCAAGAUCAACUGCCUAUGAGAUUCUAAAAAAAAAAAAAUCUAGCAAGAGUUUGGUCUCCACUGUUCCAGAUCUUGCUCUCGUAAAAGGUAUCCUUAUCUAGGUCCAUGUUGCAUCAUGUUGUGCUGAAUUAUUUCAUUAAAUUGAUAUGGAGAAAUAUGGAUACAUUUUUGUGCUUGACGGCUAGGCUUUAUAGCACUCUAAAUUCUAUGCCACUUGUAUAGUACUUUCAUUAAUAAACUAAUAUAUGUCUUUCUUCAAGGGAAAUGGGUUCAACAAGGGUUCUUAAAAACAGAAGAUAUUAUUGCCAUCUCCAAAGCUGCAGACAGAUAAUUAUGAUCAUUACAUAUUUUUUUAUUGCAUUUCUGAGAAUCACCAUAAAGGGCUAUUGGUGUCACCACAUUCUUUCCACUGACAUCAUAAGGACAACAAUUGCUUGGAAUCAUCCGAUUACUUUCGGAGUUAAAGUGUACCUGAGGCCAUAAUGAAACUUUAGCACGUAUGCCUAAUUGAAUGAGAAGAGUUUGAACCCCAAGGGAAAUUGGUUUGACAGCAGUGGUCCCUACAAGAUGAAUUGGUGAUACUGUAAGUCUAGAUGAAUACUUUACCUUGGUUUUGUUUCUGAAGUGUCAUAGGGAAACAGUAAAAUCACACAAUAUGUUCGUAUUGCAAUCAAUGCCAUGGCAUUUUCUUUAUCUAUAGGUUUGUUGUGUUCGAUUUAUUUAUGAAUGAAAUCAUUUUUCAUCCACUGGCCUUGUCUGUGUCCAAAAGGACACUGUCUUUCAUUGUUUGCUCUUAAUUCUUCUUAAUAAAUUAAUACUCACAGA
Anguilla anguilla (European eel) is the source of this 10392-nucleotide RNA transcript. It is a transcript of the gene named ubiquitin specific peptidase 20, with no coding region annotated. The record is from RefSeq and is a predicted model, not a curated record. The transcript is spliced from 26 exons. Lineage: Eukaryota; Metazoa; Chordata; Actinopteri; Anguilliformes; Anguillidae.